Molecule: ribosomal RNA, 451 nt
Filed under: uncultured organism
Description: partial 16S ribosomal RNA
Rfam family: Bacterial small subunit ribosomal RNA
Source: RNAcentral
UACACUCCUACGGGAGGCAGCAGUGGGGAAUAUUGGACAAUGGGCGCAAGCCUGAUCCAGCCAUGCCGCGUGAGUGAUGAAGGCCCUAGGGUUGUAAAGCUCUUUCACCGGUGAAGAUAAUGACGGUAACCGGAGAAGAAGCCCCGGCUGACUUCGUGCCAGCAGCCGCGGUAAUACGAAGGGGGCUAGCGUUGUUCGGAUUUACUGGGCGUAAAGCGCACGUAGGCGGACUAUUAAGUCAGGGGUGAAAUCCCGGGGCUCAACCCCGGAACUGCCUUUGAUACUGGUAGUCUUGAGUUCGAGAGAGGUGAGUGGAAUUCCGAGUGUAGAGGUGAAAUUCGUAGAUAUUCGGAGGAACACCAGUGGCGAAGGCGGCUCACUGGCUCGAUACUGACGCUGAGGUGCGAAAGCGUGGGGAGCAAACAGGAUUAGAAACCCCAGUAGUCCCAUG